UACGAAGGGGGCUAGCGUUGCUCGGAAUGACUGGGCGUAAAGCGCACGUAGGCGGCUUUGUAAGUUAGAGGUGAAAGCCCGGGGCUCAACCCCGGAAUAGCCUUUAAGACUGCAGAGCUUGAAUCCGGGAGAGGUGAGUGGAAUUCCGAGUGUAGAGGUGAAAUUCGUAGAUAUUCGGAAGAACACCAGUGGCGAAGGCGGCUCACUGGACCGGUAUUGACGCUGAGGUGCGAAAGCGUGGGGAGCAAACAGG
This 253-nucleotide ribosomal RNA is filed under the name uncultured bacterium. RNAcentral's name for it is "partial 16S ribosomal RNA". It matches the Rfam family "Bacterial small subunit ribosomal RNA", at positions 524 to 776 of the family's 1533-position model. The record is from RNAcentral.